This 350-nucleotide ribosomal RNA is filed under the name uncultured soil bacterium. RNAcentral's name for it is "bacterial SSU rRNA". It matches the Rfam family "Bacterial small subunit ribosomal RNA", at positions 26 to 377 of the family's 1533-position model. The record is from RNAcentral.
AGAUUGAACGCUGGCGGCAGGCCUAACACAUGCAAGUCGAGCGGAUGAAGAGAGCUUGCUCUCUGAUUCAGCGGCGGACGGGUGAGUAAUGCCUAGGAAUCUGCCUGGUAGUGGGGGACAACGUUUCGAAAGGAACGCUAAUACCGCAUACGUCCUACGGGAGAAAGCGAGGGGACCUUCGGGCCUUGCGCUAUCAGAUGAGCCUAGGUCGGAUUAGCUAGUUGGUGAGGUAAUGGCUCAACCAAGGCGACGAUCCGUAAUGGCUGAGAGGAUGAUCAGUCACGCUGGAACUGAGACGACGGUCCAGACUCCGUACGGGAGCAGCAGGUGGGAAUAGUGGACAGUGGGAC